UUAAAAGGAAACUUUCACCAUGUCUAGAGCCCUUGAUGUCCUGCAAAUGAAGGAGCAGGAUGUCCUUAAGUUCCUUGCAGCAGGAACCCACUUAGGUGGCACCAACCUUGACUUCCAGAUGGAACAGUACAUCUAUAAAAGGAAAAGUGAUGGCAUCUACAUCCUAAAUCUGAAGAGAACCUGGGAGAAGCUCCUGCUGGCAGCUCAUGCCAUUGUUGCCAUUGAAAACCCUGCUGAUGUCAGUGUCAUAUCUUCCAGGAAUACUGGCCAGAGGGCCAUGCUGAAGUUUGCUGCUGCCACUGGAGCCACUCCAAUUGCUGGCGGCUUUACUCCCAGAGCCUUCACCAACCACAUCCAGGCAGCCUUCCAGGAGCCACAGUUUCUUGUGGUUACUGACCUCAGGAAGGACCACCAGCUUCUCAUGGAGGCAUCUUAUGUUAACCUGCCCCCCAUCUCUCUGUGUAAUACAGAUUCUCCUCUGUGCUAAUGUGGACCUUGCUGUACCAUGCAACAACAAAGGAGCUCACUCCGUGGGUUUGAUGUGGUGGAUGCUGGCUCGGGAAGUUCUGCACAUGUGUGGCACCAUUUUGUGUGAACACUUGUGGGAGGUCAUGCCUGAUCUCUAUUUCUACAGAGAACCUGAAGAGAUUGAAAAAGAAGAGCAGGCUGCUGCUGAAAAGGCUGUGACCAAGGAGGAAUUUCAGGGUAAAUGGACUGCUCCAGCUCCUGAGUUCACUGCUACUUAGCCUGAGGUUGCAGACUGGUCUGAAGGCAUGCAGGUGCCCUCUGUGCCUAUCCAGCAGUUCCCUACUAAAGACUGGAAUGCUCAGCCUGCCACAGUAGACUUGUUUGCAGCUCCCAUUGCUCAGGGCACUGAAAGGGUAGG
Callithrix jacchus (white-tufted-ear marmoset) is the source of this 886-nucleotide non-coding RNA. Lineage: Eukaryota; Metazoa; Chordata; Mammalia; Primates; Cebidae. The record is from RefSeq and is a predicted model, not a curated record.